AGUCCCGGCUAGGGACACAGCUCUUAGACUUUGAGCUAGACAACCAGGAGGACAGGAGGACCUAGUAUCCUGCCUCCAUCAGCCCAUCAUUUAUGCAAAUGCUACUUAGUUGCCGUCUAGAUGCAGGAUGCUGUCUGCCCUGUUAAAUGCUGUGUGAACCCAGAUGGAAGCUGAGCAGACAUCACACUCGUGAGCAGCUCCCCUUCCUGUGAGCAUCUCCCCUUCCUAUGUUAUACGACCUCGUUCGCUGAAGUCAAAGAUGCAGAGGGGCCAAGGUGUGGGCUCCGGACCUCACACCAGUGUGGCAGAUUCAACAAGCCCAGAAUAAGCCUCUUCCUUUGCUCACAAUAAGAUUAAGCCAACUGCCUCUUCAUUCCUCAGUCACACUCCUCCUCUGACCCUGCUCCAGGAGGCUCAUCUUGUCAGACUUCACACUGAAUGAGCGCUGAGGAUGCUGUAGAGUAUGAGCUGUGUGCAGGAUUGCUAUCUUCUGGUCCUGUACUCCUCAAGCUCAAAGGCCAACGUCCUGGCAUUUGUGUGACGGCUUUUGCCCUACCCUGCAGAAUUUGCAAUAGGCAGUCUCUACAUGUACUCAGGGCCCAGUGGGCAUUCAACAUGUUCAUUGAAUGACAA
This 633-nucleotide long non-coding RNA is filed under the name Mus musculus (house mouse). RNAcentral describes it as "predicted gene, 32817, transcript variant 7 (Gm32817)". The record is from RNAcentral. Lineage: Eukaryota; Metazoa; Chordata; Mammalia; Rodentia; Muridae.